RNAcentral lists this RNase P RNA (394 nucleotides) under Saccharopolyspora phatthalungensis. RNAcentral describes it as "Saccharopolyspora sp. SR8.15 Bacterial RNase P class A". It matches the Rfam family "Bacterial RNase P class A". Rfam says of the family: Ribonuclease P (RNase P) is a ubiquitous endoribonuclease, found in archaea, bacteria and eukarya as well as chloroplasts and mitochondria. Its best characterised activity is the generation of mature 5'-ends of tRNAs by cleaving the 5'-leader elements of precursor-tRNAs. Cellular RNase Ps are ribonucleoproteins. Lineage: Bacteria; Bacillati; Actinomycetota; Actinomycetes; Pseudonocardiales; Pseudonocardiaceae. The record is from Rfam by way of RNAcentral.
UGAGCCGGCUGGGUGACCGCGGUGGGAGCGAUCCCAUCGAGGAAAGUCCGGACUCCACAGGGCAGGGUGGUUGCCAACGGCAACCCGGGGCGACCCGCGGGACAGUGCCACAGAAAACAGACCGCCCGGCGAGCUUCGCCGGGUAAGGGUGAAACGGUGGUGUAAGAGACCACCAGCACCCCGGGUGACCGGGGUGGCUCGGUAAACCCCACCCGGAGCAAGGCCAAGAGGACGCCGUCGCGGCGUCUGCGCGGACGUUCGAGGGCUGCCCGCCCGAGUCCGCGGGUAGGCCGCACGAGCCUGUCGGCGACGGCAGGCCCAGAUGGAUGGUCACCGACCGGGACGGCCGCAAGGCCCCCGAGAACAGAAUCCGGCUUACAGGCCGACUCAUCCG